Molecule: ribosomal RNA, 852 nt
Filed under: Vanvoorstia spectabilis
Lineage: Eukaryota; Rhodophyta; Florideophyceae; Ceramiales; Delesseriaceae
Description: LSU rRNA
Rfam family: Eukaryotic large subunit ribosomal RNA
Source: RNAcentral
GUAAAGCGAAUGAUUAGCGUACUCGGGGGCAAUUUGCCUUUGGACGAUUCUCAAACUUAAAAUGCGCACGGAUGUUGCCGCUUGGGUGGGCGGCAUCUCUAAAAAAUUGGGCUUUGUGGGCCACUUUUGGUAAGCAGAACUGGCGAUACGGGAUGAACCGUAAGUGUGGUUAAGGCGUCAAAUUGUCCGCUUAUAGAUUCCAAAAAAGGUGUUGAUUCAUUAAGACAGCAGGACGGUGGCCAUGGAAGUCGGAAUCCGCUAAGGAGUGUGUAACAACUCACCUGCCGAAUGAAUUAGCCCUGAAAAUGGAUGACGCUAAAGCGGGCAGCCGACACCACACCGUUUGGGCAAAAAUGAACCAAAUGAGUAGGAGGAACGUGGUGGUUGUGUUGAAGCGUGCGUGCAAACGUGCGUGGAACGGCCACUAGUGCAGAUCUUGGUGUUAGUAGCAAAUAUUCAAACGAGAACCUUGAAGGGCGAAGCGGGGAAGGGUUCCACGCGAACAUUGAUUGAGCGUGGGUAAGUCGUUCCUAAGCCGCGUGGCAAUAGCUAAUUAUCGGCGAAAGGGAAGCAGGUUGAUAUUCCUGCACAUGGAUGUGGGAGCGGUGACGCAUUUCUGGGGCGGUGAAGCUGGCGAGGGCCCUGGGCAGAGUUUUCUUUUCUGUUUAACCUCCUGUGCUCGCAGUGUGGAAUCCGAUUGUCGGGAGAAACACGCGGGACUGGGAAUAGCGCCGGGUUUUUUUCCGGCGUCCAGAACGCCCUCGUCGGACCUUGAAAAACCGUCUGUAGGCUACCUUAGUAGCUGUAGAAAACCACGCCAUGACGUACCGAUAACCGCAGCAGGUCUCCAAG